Molecule: unclassified non-coding RNA, 387 nt
Filed under: uncultured fungus
Lineage: Eukaryota; Fungi
Description: partial contains 5.8S ribosomal RNA and internal transcribed spacer 2
Rfam family: 5.8S ribosomal RNA (bases 1-133)
Source: RNAcentral
UGGCUCCCGCAUCGAUGAAGAACGCAGCGAAAUGCGAUACGUAAUGUGAAUUGCAGAAUUCAGUGAAUCAUCGAAUCUUUGAACGCACCUUGCGCCCCUUGGUAUUCCGAAGGGCAUGUCUGUUUGAGUGUCGUGAAACUCUCAACCCCCCUAUUUUGUAAUGAGAUGGGUGUCCGGGUUGGAUGUGGCCGUUGUCGGACCCGCAAGGGAUCGGCUCAGCUGAAAUACAUUAGCGCGUCUGCUUUAAACUGCAGCGGCUUGACUUGGCGUAAUAAUCCUAUUCGCUGAGGACGCUGCAAUCUAUGUUUAAAUACGAGCGCUCCUAAUGCUUCGACUUUGUCGAAACUUGACAUUUUUGACCUCAGAUCAGGCAGGGCUACCCGCUGA